GAUAAAAUGGCUGAGUUUAAGCAAUAAAUUGUAAAUUUAUUUACGGAAAUUUUUCCUUUUAUCA
This 64-nucleotide transfer RNA is filed under the name Palaestes scutellaris. RNAcentral's name for it is "tRNA-Tyr". Lineage: Eukaryota; Metazoa; Arthropoda; Insecta; Coleoptera; Cucujidae. The record is from RNAcentral.